AUCGCUUCUCGGCCUUUUGGCUAAGAUCAAGUGUAGUAUCUGUUCUUAUCAGUUUAAUAUCUGACAGUUCAAAAGCAUCAGUUCUUCAGUGCUCAGCUUUC
This 101-nucleotide small nuclear RNA is filed under the name Ovis aries (sheep). Its description in RNAcentral is "U2 spliceosomal RNA". It matches the Rfam family "U2 spliceosomal RNA". From Rfam's summary of the family: U2 is a small nuclear RNA (snRNA) component of the spliceosome (involved in pre-mRNA splicing). Complementary binding between U2 snRNA (in an area lying towards the 5' end but 3' to hairpin I) and the branchpoint sequence (BPS) of the intron results the bulging out of an unpaired adenosine, on the BPS, which initiates a nucleophilic attack at the intronic 5' splice site, thus starting the first of two transesterification reactions that mediate splicing. Lineage: Eukaryota; Metazoa; Chordata; Mammalia; Artiodactyla; Bovidae. The record is from Rfam by way of RNAcentral.